GCGGCGGACGGGUGAGUAAUGCCUAGGAAAUUGCCCUGAUGUGGGGGAUAACCAUUGGAAACGAUGGCUAAUACCGCAUGAUGCCUACGGGCCAAAGAGGGGGACCUUCGGGCCUCUCGCGUCAGGAUAUGCCUAGGUGGGAUUAGCUAGUUGGUGAGGUAAGGGCUCACCAAGGCGACGAUCCCUAGCUGGUCUGAGAGGAUGAUCAGCCACACUGGAACUGAGACACGGUCCAGACUCCUACGGGAGGCAGCAGUGGGGAAUAUUGCACAAUGGGCGCAAGCCUGAUGCAGCCAUGCCGCGUGUGUGAAGAAGGCCUUCGGGUUGUAAAGCACUUUCAGUCGUGAGGAAGGUAGUGUAGUUAAUAGCUGCAUUAUUUGACGUUAGCGACAGAAGAAGCACCGGCUAACUCCGUGCCAGCAGCCGCGGUAAUACGGAGGGUGCGAGCGUUAAUCGGAAUUACUGGGCGUAAAGCGCAUGCAGGUGGUUUGUUAAGUCAGAUGUGAAAGCCCGGGGCUCAACCUCGGAAUUGCAUUUGAAACUGGCAGACUAGAGUACUGUAGAGGGGGGUAGAAUUUCAGGUGUAGCGGUGAAAUGCGUAGAGAUCUGAAGGAAUACCGGUGGCGAAGGCGGCCCCCUGGACAGAUACUGACACUCAGAUGCGAAAGCGUGGGGAGCAAACAGGAUUAGAUACCCUGGUAGUCCACGCCGUAAACGAUGUCUACUUGGAGGUUGUGGCCUUGAGCCGUGGCUUUCGGAGCUAACGCGUUAAGUAGACCGCCUGGGGAGUACGGUCGCAAGAUUAAAACUCAAAUGAAUUGACGGGGGCCCGCACAAGCGGUGGAGCAUGUGGUUUAAUUCGAUGCAACGCGAAGAACCUUACCUACUCUUGACAUCCAGAGAACUUUCCAGAGAUGGAUUGGUGCCUUCGGGAACUCUGAGACAGGUGCUGCAUGGCUGUCGUCAGCUCGUGUUGUGAAAUGUUGGGUUAAGUCCCGCAACGAGCGCAACCCUUAUCCUUGUUUGCCAGCGAGUAAUGUCGGGAACUCCAGGGAGACUGCCGGUGAUAAACCGGAGGAAGGUGGGGACGACGUCAAGUCAUCAUGGCCCUUACGAGUAGGGCUACACACGUGCUACAAUGGCGCAUACAGAGGGCGGCCAACUUGCGAAAGUGAGCGAAUCCCAAAAAGUGCGUCGUAGUCCGGAUUGGAGUCUGCAACUCGACUCCAUGAAGUCGGAAUCGCUAGUAAUCGUGGAUCAGAAUGCCACGGUGAAUACGUUCCCGGGCCUUGUACACACCGCCCGUCACACCAUGGGAGUGGGCUGCAAAAGAAGUAGGUAGUUUA
RNAcentral lists this ribosomal RNA (1346 nucleotides) under Vibrio parahaemolyticus. RNAcentral describes it as "bacterial SSU rRNA". It matches the Rfam family "Bacterial small subunit ribosomal RNA", at positions 95 to 1437 of the family's 1533-position model. Lineage: Bacteria; Pseudomonadati; Pseudomonadota; Gammaproteobacteria; Vibrionales; Vibrionaceae. The record is from RNAcentral.